RNAcentral lists this unclassified non-coding RNA (330 nucleotides) under Mortierella sp. RNAcentral's name for it is "partial contains 5.8S ribosomal RNA, internal transcribed spacer 2, and large subunit ribosomal RNA". RNAcentral also lists the same sequence under 2 other names. The record is from RNAcentral. Lineage: Eukaryota; Fungi; Mortierellomycota; Mortierellomycetes; Mortierellales; Mortierellaceae.
AACGCACAUUGCACUCUCUGGUAUUCCGGAGAGUAUGCUUGUUUGAGUAUCUGUAAACAUCUCAACCCUCAAGGCGCUUGCGUCGGGAGGAUUGGACUUGAGCGAUCCCGACUCUUUCUCACGAAAGAGGAGGGUCGCUUGAAAUGCAGGUGCAGCAGGACAUUCUUCUGAGCUAAAAGCAUAUCUAUUUAGUCCCGUCAAACGGAUUAUUACUUUUGCUUCAGCUAACAUAAAGGUCGAAUGCGCCACAAUCGCUGAUUGCAGGAAAACUCGUUCGCAAGAACUUGUAAACUCGAUCUCAAAUCAAGUAAGACUACCCGCUGAACUUAA